CCUAGAAAUCCUUAAAAAGGGACAGAGCUCCCAUCUCAGUUCCCUUCCUCAGCUCCUUAUCAACUUGUUGUAGAACUUGCAACCACAACCCACCAGACUUGACAAAGACCAUAGAUCACUCAGACAAAUUCACAGCUCUGACAGCACCCUCAGCCUAACAUGCAAUGACACACCACUGUUAACAAAUCACCAACGCCACAUUCUCACCAAGAUGACAUCUUGGAAGACAACCAAAGCAAUUUGUUUGAAACAAAUGAACAUUUUUAUCUCUUCUCUGUUCCAGGAAGAAGAGUAAAUGUCAACCACACAACGAACAGCAAAUAAGCAAAUGGCUUAACUGGAUAUCAGCCUGAAGAUGACAUCAGCAACAUCACUGUUUUCUCCCAUCAGAACCACACACACAUUGACAAGGGCGAGGAGGUGCAUUCACAAUCAAAUGUUGAUUGAGUACAAAAAAAUAUAGACGUAGCAUACUACUCCAGAAGACAAAGCCAGCGGCAAACAACCAAUACCAAUGCCAUAGUAUAUUCAAGAACAAAAAACAUUAGCUU
This 551-nucleotide long non-coding RNA is filed under the name Elaeis guineensis (African oil palm). Its description in RNAcentral is "long non-coding RNA (EGUI_LNC005821)". Lineage: Eukaryota; Viridiplantae; Streptophyta; Magnoliopsida; Arecales; Arecaceae. The record is from RNAcentral.